CUUUAGCUCAGUUGGCAGAGCAUGCGCUCCGUAAGCGUAUGGUCACGGGUUCGAUCCCCGUAG
This 63-nucleotide transfer RNA is filed under the name Symbiodinium sp. Mp. It matches the Rfam family "tRNA", at positions 6 to 65 of the family's 71-position model. From Rfam's summary of the family: Transfer RNA (tRNA) molecules are approximately 80 nucleotides in length. Their secondary structure includes four short double-helical elements and three loops (D, anti-codon, and T loops). Lineage: Eukaryota; Dinophyceae; Suessiales; Symbiodiniaceae. The record is from RNAcentral.